This 530-nucleotide ribosomal RNA is filed under the name uncultured bacterium. RNAcentral's name for it is "bacterial SSU rRNA". It matches the Rfam family "Bacterial small subunit ribosomal RNA", at positions 524 to 1050 of the family's 1533-position model. The record is from RNAcentral.
UACGUAGGGAGCGAGCGUUGUCCGGAUUUACUGGGUGUAAAGGGUGCGUAGGCGGCUCUGUAAGUCGGGCGUGAAAGGUGUGGGCUUAACUCACAAACUGCGUUCGAAACUGUGGAGCUUGAGUGAAGCAGAGGCAGGCGGAAUUCCCGGUGUAGCGGUGAAAUGCGUAGAGAUCGGGAGGAACACCAGUGGCGAAGGCGGCCUGCUGGGCUUUAACUGACGCUGAGGCACGAAAGCAUGGGUAGCAAACAGGAUUAGAUACCCUGGUAGUCCAUGCCGUAAACGAUGAUUACUAGGUGUGGGGGGUCUGACCCCCUCCGUGCCGGAGUUAACACAAUAAGUAAUCCACCUGGGGAGUACGGCCGCAAGGUUGAAACUCAAAGGAAUUGACGGGGGCCCGCACAAGCAGUGGAGUAUGUGGUUUAAUUCGAAGCAACGCGAAGAACCUUACCAGGUCUUGACAUCCAACUAACGAAGCAGAGAUGCAUUAGGUGCCCUUCGGGGAAAGUUGAGACAGGUGGUGCAUGGUU